Long non-coding RNA from Etheostoma spectabile (orangethroat darter), 311 nucleotides. RefSeq lists it as uncharacterized. The record is from RefSeq and is a predicted model, not a curated record. Lineage: Eukaryota; Metazoa; Chordata; Actinopteri; Perciformes; Percidae. The transcript is spliced from 3 exons.
ACAUCCACAUUACACAAGCCUUCUGUGAUUGCGCACCACACCCAGCCCUCCUCCAGGCAGUUGCUUGUGACCAAGGAGGACACGGAGGAUUACAAAAACAUGGCGGACUCUUCAGAAGAGCUCAUUAUCUUCACUCGAGCUUCUGAGCAAGAAAGCUGCCGGACGCCCCAAUCCUCUGAACAUAGUCACACUGAGAAACACAGAGAGAGUUGUAUGGAGCUGAUCGUCUUAUUUAGCUUCAUAGCAACUCAUAUGGCAAUGGCUUUAAUUUAACAGACGUCCAUUGAUGUCAAAAAGUUACACACUAGAGC